AGUGGCGAACGGGUGAGUAACACGUGGGCAAUCUGCCCUUCACUCUGGGACAAGCCCUGGAAACGGGGUCUAAUACCGGAUAACACUCUGUCCCGCAUGGGACGGGGUUGAAAGCUCCGGCGGUGAAGGAUGAGCCCGCGGCCUAUCAGCUUGUUGGUGGGGUGAUGGCCUACCAAGGCGACGACGGGUAGCCGGCCUGAGAGGGCGACCGGCCACACUGGGACUGAGACACGGCCCAGACUCCUACGGGAGGCAGCAGUGGGGAAUAUUGCACAAUGGGCGAAAGCCUGAUGCAGCGACGCCGCGUGAGGGAUGACGGCCUUCGGGUUGUAAACCUCUUUCAGCAGGGAAGAAGCGAAAGUGACGGUACCUGCAGAAGAAGCGCCGGCUAACUACGUGCCAGCAGCCGCGGUAAUACGUAGGGCGCAAGCGUUGUCCGGAAUUAUUGGGCGUAAAGAGCUCGUAGGCGGCUUGUUGCGUCGGUUGUGAAAGCCCGGGGCUUAACCCCGGGUCUGCAGUCGAUACGGGCAGGCUAGAGUGUGGUAGGGGAGAUCGGAAUUCCUGGUGUAGCGGUGAAAUGCGCAGAUAUCAGGAGGAACACCGGUGGCGAAGGCGGAUCUCUGGGCCAUUACUGACGCUGAG
RNAcentral lists this ribosomal RNA (642 nucleotides) under Streptomyces sanglieri. RNAcentral's name for it is "bacterial SSU rRNA". It matches the Rfam family "Bacterial small subunit ribosomal RNA", at positions 94 to 750 of the family's 1533-position model. Lineage: Bacteria; Bacillati; Actinomycetota; Actinomycetes; Kitasatosporales; Streptomycetaceae. The record is from RNAcentral.